AAGGGUAUAGCUCAGUGGCAGAGCACAUGCUUAGCAUGCACGAGAUCCUGGGUUCAAUGCCCAGUACCUCCA
RNAcentral lists this transfer RNA (72 nucleotides) under Camelus bactrianus (Bactrian camel). It matches the Rfam family "tRNA". From Rfam's summary of the family: Transfer RNA (tRNA) molecules are approximately 80 nucleotides in length. RNAcentral also lists the same sequence under 2 other names. Lineage: Eukaryota; Metazoa; Chordata; Mammalia; Artiodactyla; Camelidae. The record is from Rfam by way of RNAcentral.